Molecule: ribosomal RNA, 411 nt
Filed under: uncultured bacterium
Lineage: Bacteria
Description: bacterial SSU rRNA
Rfam family: Bacterial small subunit ribosomal RNA
Source: RNAcentral
UCGAGAAUCUCCGGCAAUGGGCGCAAGCCUGACCGAGCGACGCCGCGUGGAGGACGAAGGCCUUCGGGUUGUAAACUCCUGUCGAGGGGGAGGAAGGCGCAAGCUUGACCGAUCCCUGGAGGAAGCACGGGCUAAGUUCGUGCCAGCAGCCGCGGUAAGACGAACCGUGCGAACGUUAUUCGGAAUCACUGGGCUUAAAGCGCGUGUAGGCGGGCCGCCACGUCAGAUGCUGAAAUCCCCCGGCUCAACCGGGGAAGUGGCUCUGAUACGAGCGGCCUGGAGGGAGGUAGGGGGGGCUGGAACUUCCGGUGGAGCGGUGAAAUGCGUUGAGAUCGGAAGGAACGCCCGUGGCGAAAGCGAGCCCCUGGACCUUUUCUGACGCUGAGACGCGAAAGCUAGGGGAGCGAACGG